This 460-nucleotide ribosomal RNA is filed under the name uncultured bacterium. RNAcentral's name for it is "partial 16S ribosomal RNA". It matches the Rfam family "Bacterial small subunit ribosomal RNA", at positions 338 to 795 of the family's 1533-position model. The record is from RNAcentral.
CCUACGGGGCGCAGCAGUGAGGAAUAUUGGUCAAUGGCCGGAAGGCUGAACCAGCCAUGCCGCGUGAAGGUCAGUGCCCUAUGGGCGUUAAACUUCUUUUGUGCGGGAGCAAUAAUGGUCACGUGUGGCCAGACGAGAGUACCGUACGAAUAAGCAUCGGCUAACUCCGUGCCAGCAGCCGCGGUAAUACGGGGGAUGCAAGCGUUAUCCGGAUUUAUUGGGUUUAAAGGGUGCGUAGGCUGGGAUGUAAGUCAGCGGUGAAAUGCCCCCGCUCAACGGGGUGAAGUGCCAUUGAUACUGCCUGGCUGGAAUGCGGAUGCCGUGGGAGGAAUGUGUGGUGUAGCGGUGAAAUGCAUAGAUAUCACACAGAACACCGAUUGCGAAGGCAUCUCACGAAUCCGCGAUUGACGCUGAUGCACGAAAGCGUGGGUAUCAAACAGGAUUAGAUACCCUAGUAGUC